RNAcentral lists this transfer RNA (74 nucleotides) under Chloroflexota bacterium. Its description in RNAcentral is "Chloroflexi bacterium tRNA-Arg". It matches the Rfam family "tRNA". From Rfam's summary of the family: Transfer RNA (tRNA) molecules are approximately 80 nucleotides in length. Their secondary structure includes four short double-helical elements and three loops (D, anti-codon, and T loops). The record is from RNAcentral. RNAcentral also lists the same sequence under 1 other name. Lineage: Bacteria; Bacillati; Chloroflexota.
GCCCUCGUAGCUCAGGGGACCAGAGCGCCUCCGUCCUAAGGAGGGCGUCGCAGGUUCGAGUCCUGCCGAGGGCA